RNAcentral lists this ribosomal RNA (2200 nucleotides) under Escherichia coli. RNAcentral describes it as "23S ribosomal RNA". It matches the Rfam family "Bacterial large subunit ribosomal RNA", at positions 1 to 2228 of the family's 2925-position model. Lineage: Bacteria; Pseudomonadati; Pseudomonadota; Gammaproteobacteria; Enterobacterales; Enterobacteriaceae. The record is from RNAcentral.
UUAAGCGACUAAGCGUACACGGUGGAUGCCCUGGCAGUCAGAGGCGAUGAAGGACGUGCUAAUCUGCGAUAAGCGUCGGUAAGGUGAUAUGAACCGUUAUAACCGGCGAUUUCCGAAUGGGGAAACCCAGUGUGUUUCGACACACUAUCAUUAACUGAAUCCAUAGGUUAAUGAGGCGAACCGGGGGAACUGAAACAUCUAAGUACCCCGAGGAAAAGAAAUCAACCGAGAUUCCCCCAGUAGCGGCGAGCGAACGGGGAGCAGCCCAGAGCCUGAAUCAGUGUGUGUGUUAGUGGAAGCGUCUGGAAAGGCGCGCGAUACAGGGUGACAGCCCCGUACACAAAAAUGCACAUGCUGUGAGCUCGAUGAGUAGGGCGGGACACGUGGUAUCCUGUCUGAAUAUGGGGGGACCAUCCUCCAAGGCUAAAUACUCCUGACUGACCGAUAGUGAACCAGUACCGUGAGGGAAAGGCGAAAAGAACCCCGGCGAGGGGAGUGAAAAAGAACCUGAAACCGUGUACGUACAAGCAGUGGGAGCCUCUUUUAUGGGGUGACUGCGUACCUUUUGUAUAAUGGGUCAGCGACUUAUAUUCUGUAGCAAGGUUAACCGAAUAGGGGAGCCGAAGGGAAACCGAGUCUUAACUGGGCGUUAAGUUGCAGGGUAUAGACCCGAAACCCGGUGAUCUAGCCAUGGGCAGGUUGAAGGUUGGGUAACACUAACUGGAGGACCGAACCGACUAAUGUUGAAAAAUUAGCGGAUGACUUGUGGCUGGGGGUGAAAGGCCAAUCAAACCGGGAGAUAGCUGGUUCUCCCCGAAAGCUAUUUAGGUAGCGCCUCGUGAAUUCAUCUCCGGGGGUAGAGCACUGUUUCGGCAAGGGGGUCAUCCCGACUUACCAACCCGAUGCAAACUGCGAAUACCGGAGAAUGUUAUCACGGGAGACACACGGCGGGUGCUAACGUCCGUCGUGAAGAGGGAAACAACCCAGACCGCCAGCUAAGGUCCCAAAGUCAUGGUUAAGUGGGAAACGAUGUGGGAAGGCCCAGACAGCCAGGAUGUUGGCUUAGAAGCAGCCAUCAUUUAAAGAAAGCGUAAUAGCUCACUGGUCGAGUCGGCCUGCGCGGAAGAUGUAACGGGGCUAAACCAUGCACCGAAGCUGCGGCAGCGACGCUUAUGCGUUGUUGGGUAGGGGAGCGUUCUGUAAGCCUGUGAAGGUGUGCUGUGAGGCAUGCUGGAGGUAUCAGAAGUGCGAAUGCUGACAUAAGUAACGAUAAAGCGGGUGAAAAGCCCGCUCGCCGGAAGACCAAGGGUUCCUGUCCAACGUUAAUCGGGGCAGGGUGAGUCGACCCCUAAGGCGAGGCCGAAAGGCGUAGUCGAUGGGAAACAGGUUAAUAUUCCUGUACUUGGUGUUACUGCGAAGGGGGGACGGAGAAGGCUAUGUUGGCCGGGCGACGGUUGUCCCGGUUUAAGCGUGUAGGCUGGUUUUCCAGGCAAAUCCGGAAAAUCAAGGCUGAGGCGUGAUGACGAGGCACUACGGUGCUGAAGCAACAAAUGCCCUGCUUCCAGGAAAAGCCUCUAAGCAUCAGGUAACAUCAAAUCGUACCCCAAACCGACACAGGUGGUCAGGUAGAGAAUACCAAGGCGCUUGAGAGAACUCGGGUGAAGGAACUAGGCAAAAUGGUGCCGUAACUUCGGGAGAAGGCACGCUGAUAUGUAGGUGAAGUCCCUCGCGGAUGGAGCUGAAAUCAGUCGAAGAUACCAGCUGGCUGCAACUGUUUAUUAAAAACACAGCACUGUGCAAACACGAAAGUGGACGUAUACGGUGUGACGCCUGCCCGGUGCCGGAAGGUUAAUUGAUGGGGUUAGCGCAAGCGAAGCUCUUGAUCGAAGCCCCGGUAAACGGCGGCCGUAACUAUAACGGUCCUAAGGUAGCGAAAUUCCUUGUCGGGUAAGUUCCGACCUGCACGAAUGGCGUAAUGAUGGCCAGGCUGUCUCCACCCGAGACUCAGUGAAAUUGAACUCGCUGUGAAGAUGCAGUGUACCCGCGGCAAGACGGAAAGACCCCGUGAACCUUUACUAUAGCUUGACACUGAACAUUGAGCCUUGAUGUGUAGGAUAGGUGGGAGGCUUUGAAGUGUGGACGCCAGUCUGCAUGGAGCCGACCUUGAAAUACCACCCUUUAAUGUUUGAUGUUCUAACGU